RNAcentral lists this ribosomal RNA (200 nucleotides) under uncultured bacterium. RNAcentral describes it as "partial 16S ribosomal RNA". It matches the Rfam family "Bacterial small subunit ribosomal RNA", at positions 8 to 217 of the family's 1533-position model. The record is from RNAcentral.
AGAGUUUGAUCCUGGCUCAGGACUAACGCUGGCGGCGUGCCUAACACAUGCAAGUCGAACGAGGUAGCAAUACCUAGUGGCAGACGGGUGAGUAACACGUAGUCAACCAACCUUCUUGUGGGGGAUAACUAGCCGAAAGGUUAGCUAAUACCGCAUACGAUCGUCGUGAGGCAUCUUAUGACGAGGAAAGGAGCAAUCCG